Molecule: ribosomal RNA, 486 nt
Filed under: uncultured bacterium
Lineage: Bacteria
Description: partial 16S ribosomal RNA
Rfam family: Bacterial small subunit ribosomal RNA
Source: RNAcentral
GAUGAACGCUGGCGGCGUGCCUAAUACAUGCAAGUCGAACGCUGGAAAUCUAGCUUGCUAGAUUGAAGGAGUGGCGAACGGGUGAGUAAUACAUAAGCAACCUACCCACGAAGACUGGGAUAAUCUCUGGAAACGGGGACUAAUACCGGAUAGGUAAUCGGAAGGCAUCUUCUGAUUAUUAAAGGUUAAAAACACUGGUGGAUGGGCUUAUGGCGCAUUAGUUAGUUGGUGAGGUAACGGCCCACCAAGACGAUGAUGCGUAGCCGGCCUGAGAGGGUGAACGGCCACAUUGGGACUGAGACACGGCCCAGAAUCCUACGGGAGGCAGCAGUAGGGAAUUUUCGGCAAUGGGGGAAACCCUGACCGAGCAACGCCGCGUGAGUGAGGACGGCCUUCGGGUUGUAAAGCUCUGUUGUAAGGGAAGAACGGUAGAUAGAGAAUAUCUAAAUGACGGUACCUUACCAGAAAGCCACGGCUAACUACGUG